AGUGAACGCUGGCGGUAGGCCUAACACAUGCAAGUCGAACGGCAGCACUGUAAGAGCUUGCUCUUACGGGUGGCGAGUGGCGGACGGGUGAGGAAUACAUCGGAAUCUACUUUUUCGUGGGGGAUAACGUAGGGAAACUUACGCUAAUACCGCAUACGACCUACGGGUGAAAGCAGGGGAUCUUCGGACCUUGCGCGAUUGAAUGAGCCGAUGUCGGAUUAGCUAGUUGGCGGGGUAAAGGCCCACCAAGGCGACGAUCCGUAGCUGGACUGAGAGGAUGAUCAGCCACACUGGAACUGAGACACGGUCCAGACUCCUACGGGAGGCAGCAGUGGGGAAUAUUGGACAAUGGGCGCAAGCCUGAUCCAGCCAUACCGCGUGGGUGAAGAAGGCCUUCGGGUUGUAAAGCCCUUUUGUUGGGAAAGAAAAGCAGCAGGUUAAUACCCCGCUGUUCUGACGGUACCCAAAGAAUAAGCACCGGCUAACUUCGUG
This 492-nucleotide ribosomal RNA is filed under the name uncultured bacterium. RNAcentral describes it as "partial 16S ribosomal RNA". It matches the Rfam family "Bacterial small subunit ribosomal RNA", at positions 29 to 507 of the family's 1533-position model. The record is from RNAcentral.